Molecule: long non-coding RNA, 2010 nt
Filed under: Homo sapiens (human)
Lineage: Eukaryota; Metazoa; Chordata; Mammalia; Primates; Hominidae
Description: HSALNT0244629
Source: RNAcentral
AAAAGCUGGCGGGAAAGCUGGGCCAUGACACCCAGAUUAUCAUUGCCAGUGAAACCAACCUUGGUGGAAUCAUCUCAUUUGUGCUCCAGAGUUAGACGGCAAAGGCAGUGAAGGCAGAAGAGCCUGGUUAUGGACCAGAGAUGAAUGGGAGGCGUCUGAUUCAGGAUAUGCAGAAAAUCCAACAGCUCUGUUCUAUCAAUACGAAGAAGAGACCAAGAUGUUGCUGAAGGAAAUAUCCUAGCCACUUGGAAUGAUGCUAUCAGAAGAAGUAAAAAAAUGAUCCUGUAUUGCACAUUUGAAGUAGGAUAUUAAGUACAGUAAGAGUGAAUAAGUUGAGAAUACAUUUACAAUUUAGUUUUGUAAGCAAAUGGUGUUCUCAUGAUAAUUUUUGUGGUUCUUUUAAUAUUUAAUUUUACUUUUCACAUUUAAUUUUUCUUAGUAUUGGCGACAAAUUGUCAUAAGCAGUCAACGUUUUAGUCUGGUCUUUCUUUCUAGCCUUUCCACUGUCUUUUUCUCCAUGUCGCUUUGCGAACAGAGGCUGCAGUUUUGAGGGGUUUGGAAAGUUGAUGAUAAUAACCUAGCCGAGGGGAUAUAUAUAAAAAUAAUCCUGGAAAGAUGAAUGUGCAAAGAUGUUUAUGACAACCUGAUAGUGAAAAAUUGGAAAUGUUUUAAAGUUGAAUUGCUGGAGAUAUGUCAAAUAAAUCAUAGUACAGUUAAAUAGAGCAACACUCUGCAGCUAUUUAAAACAGUGAGGUAGAGCAACAUGCAUAGAUAUGGGAAUGCACUUAAAUCACAUUUUAAUUUAGCAUAGGUUUGAGUAUUUUUGAAAAAAAAAUAACCAAAAUGUUUAUAGUAUCACAUUUCCUGGUGGUAGAAUUAUGAGUGACUACAAAACUGGCCACAAAUUCUUCCAAUGUGCGUCCUUCUAUCAAAUAUUGGAAUCUGUUUCUCUAUUCCUUGAAUCUGGGUUGCCCAAGUGAAUGGGUUUUCCAAUAGACUGUUGGCACCAGGGACACAAUCAGAGGCUUGAAAAGAGCUUGUACGUUGGAACUUGCCUUCUUGCUUCUCCUGGGAACCCUGCUACUGCCACCAUGAGAAUGAAGCUGGACAAGCCUAAUGGAGAAUGAGACACUUAUGGACCAGCCACCUCUAAACAGUCCCCAGAAAUGGUGCCACCUAACUUCAUAGCAGUAGAAAAAUCUCUCAAGACAUUUCCCUGAGGAGGUGGCUAUGAUGGUAGAACUUACAAGACUUCAGUGGACAUAAGAUAGAGCUGCUCGAGUCAGAGUCAAACCUUUUUGGAGGAGGGGAAAUCUUGGAUUGAGAGCGUGACUGAUACAGGCACCCAUCCUUGUCUCUGCUCCAGAUUACAGGAAUCUCUGAAGAGGCGAGUGCUGGGUGCCUCUAGUCAACCAUGUUGAUGACGUCCUUUCUAGAAAACACCCUGAUACCUUGUGCCUGUGCUUCCAAGGUGGCUGACGCUGUGCCUGUGCUUCCGAGGUGGCUGACUUCUAACUGAGUGCAGUGGAGACCCCGUGGUGCUUUACAGAACAGAUGGCAGUGCUGCCCAAGCUCAGAACACAGCUGGACGGAUCCCCAUUUUUAAAAUGUUGCUUUUAAAGUUCCUUGGUCUAUUUUAAGUCUUAGACAAUAGAGCACUAAUUUGUGUCCACAGCUAGGGAAAAAGCACCCCAAAUACUCAUGUUAUGUCACUUUCAGUACCACAAUUCAAAUAGUGAAAGACGAUGCUUCCAUGUACCACGUAUAGGUCUCUACUAGUGAUUUUUCUCUCAUUUCAACCUAGCUUCACAUAUUUUUAUGGUAUAGCUAACUCAACAUUGAUUCUAUACAAAAUAUAUUAUCUAAGAUAGUCUUUAAAAAUAUUUGAAUUCCACUGGGAUUUGUUUAAACCCCUACACAAAUAAUUACCUCUUACUAAAAACACUGAGUUUGGCAAGUGAAAUUUUGUAAUAAGGUGAAGAUUCAAUAAAAUCUUGUCUCAAACUAAUG